This is a long non-coding RNA of Haliotis rubra (blacklip abalone), 329 nucleotides long. RefSeq lists it as uncharacterized. The record is from RefSeq and is a predicted model, not a curated record. Lineage: Eukaryota; Metazoa; Mollusca; Gastropoda; Lepetellida; Haliotidae. The transcript has 3 exons.
GUGUCUUUACUCCCCUCCCGAUCUCGGCCCUCGGCUCCAGGUAUGUAGUGUCCACCUGCCUGGGAUCCAUGGACCACGUGGUGUUAGUGAUUGCUAACUACAACCGAAAGACGGACGUGGACAUAACGCUGAUGCUUGAGGGGAACGUCACCUAUGACAACAUGACAUACAACGACGGAGACACGAUCCACGUGAGUCUAGAUGAGUAUCAGACCUUCACGUUGAAGAGCGCCUAUGACCUGACUGGAACUGUUAUCAACACAACACGUGCUGUAGCUGUGUUCAGUGGGGCAAUGACAGGAGAUUAUGUCAGAGCCGUUGCACAACUA